UUUUGAAACCUCAAGUCUCGGUCUCUCCUACCUCUCGUUCUCUCCCCAACUGAGUGUUCUUUUCCUCCUCCCUGCCUUUUUCAUUCCUGCAGCUGUGUGAUUAAUUGGGGGAGAGUGAAAUUAGGGUUUGUCCGUCUUCACUCAAUCAAAGGUAAUCAACUCUCGUUUUGAUUAAUUGUGAUUCUUAAACUUGAUUAUAUGCAUAAGUGUCUGUAUACUUGUGUAUGUAUGUAUUUGUGUGGCUGUUCGUUUCGACUGGAGAUGAUGACAACACUGUUGGUGGAGGGCCGUGGUGGUGAUGUGGUGGUGUAUAUAUAGCUGUGUGUUAUGUUCUUAAAAUGGGUUUUUUUGUGUAAUUUGAGUUGUGGUGUUAGAAUUGAGGCAAUUGUUGUCAAGCUUCGCAGCGGUAAUGUCCUGUUUUGUAGCUUUGUUCUAGGACUAUUAAGUUCAAUUACUAUGCUUAAUUUCCCUGUGAUUAUAUGCUCCUUGAAGUCUAGAUUAAGUGCGAAAAAGAAUUUCAAAGUUUCGUUAAAUGAGCUAAAAGUUAUGAAUUAAUUAGUGACUCUAUGUCUAGAUGACAAAAUUCUGCUAUGUGACAUAUGUGUGCACUGCCCUAUUUUGACAUGUGUAUUUCAAACUGAUAUAAGAUUAAUUGGUGAAUGGAUUGAUUUAUAUUGAUGUCUCUUAAGGUAUAAAAUCAGUACCAAAAGGAUUUAGGUUGAUUGGAUUAAUAAGAUUAAAGUUAUGUUAGAUUUUUAAGAGAUAUGCUACAUGAUUAGAUGCUGAGUAAUAUGUUAUGAUUUUGAUGUGUCUUGUAUGCAAAGUCUGUACAACAUAGAAUAGAAUUAAAAUACUGAACCUCUGAGACUAUAUGCUAUGUGGAAUCAAGGAUCUAUGCCAAGUGGAAUUAAUCAAUUUGGAUUAGUAAAUAUUAAGAUAUGAAUUUUUAUGUGUACGGUGUUAUUAGAGCCCUGCUGUGAUGCUUUCUCUGCACCAUGUUGAACUUCCAAAAUUUAUACUAAAUUAAUUAUGUGUUGGAACUUGUUUGUUUGACCUCUGUAACUUAGCUAUUCGAGUUCUAUAUGAUUUCUAUUCUCUGAGUUCCUUGAUUUGGUGCUUAUAAAAUGAAUUUCUAAAAAUACAAAAAUGAUUUGAAAAAUUCUUUCAAUUACUUGAAAAUUAUAAUGAAUAUUUUUAGGAGUUUUUAAAAUAUUAAAUAUAUUAUUUUUGUAAAAGUUUGAUGUUUAAAUAUUUUCUGAACGCAAUUAAUUUCUAAAUUGCGUAUAAAUUUCAUAAGUACUCGAUAAAUCUCAAAACUUUUAUUUCAUUGGUCUUAUAACAUUCCGGGAUUUAUAAAAAUAUUUCGGUAGCUGUCGGAAGAAAUUUUACUGCAAGUUUUUCCCUGAAUUAGUUGAUAUCGGGUAUUUAGGAUUGAAUAUCAGAUUAAAAGGAGGUGUGACAUGUGUCCCAAUAUUCCACCGCCUAUACUCCCUUUCUUCUUUCCUUUUCUAUAUUUCAUCACUUUUAAAACAUCAAGUCUCAGUCUCUCGCAUCUCUCGUUGUUGAGCCUCAACUAGUGUUCUCUUCCUCCUCUCUGCCUUUUCAAUCUUGCAACCGUGUGAUUAAUUAGGAGAGAGUGAAAUUAGGGUUUGGGAUUUUUCAACCAAUCAAAGGUAAUCAUCUCUCGUUUCGAUUAAUUGCGAUUCUUAAACUUGAUUAUAUGCAUAAGUGUGUGUAUACUUGUGUAUGUAUGUAUCUGUGUGGCUGUUCGCUUUAACUGGAGAUGAUGACAACAUUGUUGGUGGUUUGGUGGUGGAGCUGUGGUGUUGAUGUGGUGGUGUAUAUAUAGCUGUGUACAUGUUCUUAGAAUGGGUUUUGUGUAAUUUGAGAUGUGGUAUUAGAAUUGAGUCAAUUGUUGUCAAGCUUCGCAGCGGUAAUGUCCUGUUUUGUAGCUUUGUUCUAGGACUGUUAAGUUCGAUUACUAUGCUUAAUUUUCCUGCGAUUAUAUGCUCCUUGAAGUCUAGAUUAAGUGCGAAAAAGAAUUUCAAAGUUUCGUUAAAUGAGCUAAAAGUUAUGAAUGAAUUAGUGACUCUUUGUCUAGAUGAGAAAAUUCUGCUAUGUGACAUAUGUGUGCAUUGCCCUGUUUUGACAUGUGUACUCCAAACUGACAUAAGAUUAAUUGGUAAAUUGAUUAACUUAUAAUGAUGUUUCUUAAGGUAUAAAAUCAGUACCAAGAGGAAUUAGGUUGAUUGGAUUAAUAAGAUUAAAGUUAUGUUAGAUUUUUUUUAAGAGAUAUACUACAUGAUUAGAUGCUGAGUAAUAUGUUAUGAUUUUGAAGUGUCUUGUAUGCAAAGUCUGUAUAACAUAGAAUAGAAUUAAAAUACCAAACCUCUGAGACUAUAUGCUAUGUGGAAUCAAGGAUCUAUGCCAAGUGGAAUUAAUCAAUUUGGAUUAGUACAUAUUAAGAUAAGAAUUUUUAUGUAUCCGGUGUUAUUAGAGCCCUGCUGUGAUGCUUUCUCUGCACCAUGUUGAACUUUCAAAAUUUAUACUAAAUUAAUUAUGUGUUGGAACUUGUUUGUUUGACCUCUGUAACUUGGCUAUGUGAGUUCUCUAUGAUUUCUAUUCUUUGAGUUUCUUGAUUUGGUGCUUGCUUCUAUUUUAUGAAAAUUGAUCAAGUCAAGUAUGUCAAAACCAUACUACACUGUCCUGUUUUGCUAAAUGAUGCAUUAUGUACUAACUAUAACUGAUUAAAUGGCGAGUCUUUUUGUGUUGAUCAGAUAAUUUCAAGUAUGACGUCUCCUGUUUGUAUUGUCUUGGAAAAUUAUGUAAUCUAGUGUUCUAUAAGUUAGCAAAAUUGAGAGGGUUGUUGCUGAUUUGUAUUAAGAAGUCAACUUAAUUAAUGAUUUCCUGUUUUAUUACUUGAUCACUUUUUGCAUACUAUAUAUGGUUAGAAAGAUCUUGGAAUGCUCUAUCUUUUUUUGUUUAAUGUAUCUAUAAAUGAGAUUUCCGAAUGCUAGUAAAAUGCAAAUCUCUUGGUGUCUGUCCAGCAGUUUAUGGGCUUUAUGAAUUGUCGAGUUAGAAUUAUAUGUAUUGUUCUAUGACUUGCAUCUAGACUUAAAGUUGAAUCAUUGUUUGGCUGAGAUAUGUGAGUUAUUGAUGUGUGAUUGUGUUUUAAUUGAUAAUUGGUUCGGUACUUGUUGGUUUAUUGAGUUGGAUUGGGUUGGUUAUUUGUUGAGUUGUAUAGGGAGUUAGAAAACUGUUUUGUUAAUAACUUUUGAUACGUAAUUCAGAAUCGAGUGAAACGAAAAAGAGGUUAAAGCUUAGAAACUCUAGUUUAAUAUAAUGUAACAAUAUGAUUGAGUUUCCAAUGUGUAUAAAGAUUGUUGAAAAUGCAUAAUGUGACUAUACGUGAUCUAUUUGCUAUAUAGUGAUGAUUAUAUCAAAUACGUAUCCAUUUGAUUUGAUAAACGAUUUGGGAGACAUAGCAUCUUGUCUUGAUUAAUGUUGAAUAAGAAUAUGUAGAUUACAGGAAUUUGAGUUGAUUGAUUGGUCGUUGGUUGAAAUAGGCUGACAGAUGGAUAGUCCUAUAAAUAGACAAGACGCUGUCAGAUUUUCAAUAGGAUUUAUAUGGUUAUUGAGUUGUAGUAUGCUACAUGGAGUAUGAUGUGACUAUAUGAUAAAGUCAAAGCAUGAUUAUAUGUUAAGUGAUACCUGAUAAGUGCAUAGAGAUUAUAUAGGGUGAUAUGUGAUUAUGUGUUAAAUGCUAUCGAUAUAAGUGAUAUGUAUAUGCGAUAGGUUAUGAUACCGAGUUUGAUAAGUAAGAUAAGAAUUAAUAGAUUAUUUAGUAAUUAUGGUAGUAUUUUAUUCUCGUAAAGGAUUUGGACGAGGCGUAUACGACCGAAGACGUUCAGAAAGUCAAACGGUGUUCCAAAGCGAAUGAGGAACGAAUCGAGUAAGUGAAGCAGUGUGGCGAAUAAAGUAUAGCCAGAGAUGGUCUAGAUACUAUGAUAUGCAUAGGUUGUGAGUUGGAAAGAUGAGAUUAAGCUGUGUGUGGAAGCGGAUUUAAGGCAAGUUUUCCUAAAUACUUCCUCACAUAUAUAUAUUGCAUGUUCUGAUUAUUCUGUCCAGACUAUGUUAUUGCUUAUACUGAAACCCUUCUCAAAUAAACUCUUAUUUCUGAGAAUGAAACCCAUGAUUGUUUUCAACUUUCAAGUCUUUGAAAAGCCAAACACCCAAAUACUCUCACUUUCUAUUACAAGUAUUCUGAUCCAUUCUUUCCAAUCCUCAAGAUUUUAAAAAUAUCAGCUUUACAAAUUAAUUCGAAGUUCAGACCGUCAUUGAAGCAUGGGUUGCUCAGUGAUAGUUAGAACCUAGAAUGAGUUGGGAUCUUCUUGAUUAUUCAACCCGCCAUUGUCAUGCUGGUUUAGCAGGCUAAAUUCAGUUGCUUAGCCGAUAAUGGAGGAUACUGAAUAGUUAGGAAUUUCCUGAACUAUGAUUUAUCAAAAGACAGACUGUGGUUUAUGAAAUGUUGAUUCUCAAAAGUUGGUUUGGAAUAUUUCUGUUGUUGAUAAUGAUUAUGAUUCUGUUCUGUUGAUUAAAUUGUCUAUUGAUUUAAAUUGUUAGAAUUGGAUUAGUUUUUAUAAAAUAUGUGGACCAGAUUCGUGGUCAGACCAGAUUCGUGGUCAAUUAUAGGCCAAUGUGUGCCUUGGAUCCAGUAUAGAGAACAGGGCUGUGUGCCAUGUUCGGGGUUAGUGCGUGACUGAUCAGCAGCCUAACCUUUGGUUUUUAAGUAAAAAUGUGAUGAAUCCAAUUCGACAAUUCUUCUGUAAGUUUGAAUUCUGAUUUCAAUUGCUGAUAAGAAUUGUGAAGUUUUCAAUUACAUAUCCUGAACUUGUGAACCCUGAUAAGAUAUUUCAGGACUAUUGUUGCUUAUAUACACUUGCUGAGCAUUGUUGCUCACCCUUGCUAUUCCUUUUUAACCAUUUCAGAAAAGCUUAGAGAUGAAUUGCUUGAUUGAGAUUGCGAGUAUGGCUAAGGCUAAGCGAGGAGUCAGAGUUAUAGAAUAUCCAGAGGACAAGUGGAAUGUCCAGGGAGAUUGUCAAGGUUGGUUCUAGAUAGAAUUGUAUUGAUGAGAUUCAGUUGUAAGUCAUAAUUGAAAUAGAUUGACAGUGAUUCUUCUUAUCGAAGAUGAUCUGAGAUUGUAAGACAUUGUUUAUUGAUAGUGGUUGAUUCUAAUUUCAAUACUGUAACCUGGAUGCGAUCCUGUUUUUAGGGGGUUAAAGUGUUUUCUUUUAAAUCUUUUAUUAAAGUCUUCAAGUUUUAAAUGCUUUGAUUUUUAUUUUCUCCUCAAAAAUACAGGUUUUCAAAAGUGUUUAAAAAUGGGUUUUGUGUGGUGACGUCAGAAUCCAGACCCCCGGAUUCUCGGGCUGUCACAGUUAGUCUUGGGGGAGAAUCGCCUAAGCAAUCAUUUCAGGAAAAUGCCAUUUUUCUUCAAAAAUCAUGAAACAACCAACAUUAAUUUGUGUGGCUUGAUAAAGUUGGUAAAACUUGCAAACCGCAACUACACCG
Molecule: long non-coding RNA, 5568 nt
Filed under: Daucus carota (carrot)
Lineage: Eukaryota; Viridiplantae; Streptophyta; Magnoliopsida; Apiales; Apiaceae
Description: long non-coding RNA (DCAR_LNC002447)
Source: RNAcentral